Marmota marmota marmota (Alpine marmot) is the source of this 107-nucleotide small nuclear RNA. The record is from Ensembl. Lineage: Eukaryota; Metazoa; Chordata; Mammalia; Rodentia; Sciuridae.
GUGCUCACUUUGGCAGCACAUAUAUUAAAGUUGGAACCAUACAGGGAAUAUUAGCAUGGCUCCUGCACAAGGAUGACAUGCAGAUUCGUGAAGCACUCCAUAUUUUU